Non-coding RNA from Onthophagus taurus, 312 nucleotides. NCBI's taxonomy places the organism in Eukaryota, Metazoa, Arthropoda, Insecta, Coleoptera, Scarabaeidae. The record is from RefSeq and is a predicted model, not a curated record.
UUGACAAACGCGUCAAUUCACGUCAAUGAUGAUCUGAAUUUAAAUUUAAAUUUGCGAUAAGAACCAAAUCGAUUGUGCUUUUCUUAUUUAAUUUAGCUUAUAAUACCAUGUCCAGUCUACAUGAGAUCGCAAAGAUUUGUAUAUACGCUGUUAUUAUUUUAACAUGCGUGAAAUUAAUACGAGGAGAUCCUUUUGGAAUUUUAUUCGAUAAUAAUUCCCCAUACAAAUGGAGUGGAGAUGAUAUAACAGACUUCUUUUGUAGACUGAACAUGUAAUAUUCAAUUUUAAAAAUAAAAAAAUAUCUGAAUCAAC